This 497-nucleotide ribosomal RNA is filed under the name uncultured bacterium. RNAcentral's name for it is "partial 16S ribosomal RNA". It matches the Rfam family "Bacterial small subunit ribosomal RNA", at positions 28 to 507 of the family's 1533-position model. The record is from RNAcentral.
GACGAACGCUGGCGGCGUGCCUAAUACAUGCAAGUAGAACGCUGAAGCGAGGAGCUUGCUCUUCUUGGAUGAGUUGCGAACGGGUGAGUAACGCGUAGGUAACCUGCCUUGUAGCGGGGGAUAACUAUUGGAAACGAUAGCUAAUACCGCAUAACAAUGGAUGACACAUGUCAUUUAUUUGAAAGGGGCAAUUGCUCCACUACAAGAUGGACCUGCGUUGUAUUAGCUAGUAGGUGAGGUAACGGCUCACCUAGGCGACGAUACAUAGCCGACCUGAGAGGGUGAUCGGCCACACUGGGACUGAGACACGGCCCAGACUCCUACGGGAGGCAGCAGUAGGGAAUCUUCGGCAAUGGGGGCAACCCUGACCGAGCAACGCCGCGUGAGUGAAGAAGGUUUUCGGAUCGUAAAGCUCUGUUGUAAGUCAAGAACGAGUGUGAGAGUGGAAGGUUCACACUGUGACGGUAGCUUACCAGAAAGGGACGGCUAACUACGUG